RNAcentral lists this long non-coding RNA (745 nucleotides) under Pogona vitticeps (central bearded dragon). RNAcentral's name for it is "lncRNA (ENSPVIG00000025584.1)". The record is from RNAcentral. Lineage: Eukaryota; Metazoa; Chordata; Lepidosauria; Squamata; Agamidae.
CUGUGCUGCUCAAUUUGCCCUCAUAUGUUUCCUCUUUAGAUAACAUUACUUGUACAAAUUCCAAGCUAAGCUGAAUCAGGGAGACUCAGAGGGUCUUUAUGGUAUUUCUUAUGUAACAGAGCUCAGCUUACUUUAUUUGUGCCUUGCAUAUGGGGUUUCUUCAACUCCCAAGGGCUGAAGACUUGGAGGCUGGGGGGCAGUGGAGAAAACCAGUUGGGACUGAAUGAAUAUCAGCUGCUGACUUGUGGGAGAUAUGAGAAGCACCAGCAACCAUAGAAAAGCUGCAAUUUUCUAUUUUCCUUGGGUGACAUACCAAGGAAAGGAUUUGGGUGGAGCAGACAAUGAGAAAUCCAGUUGGGCUUGCAGCAACAGUAUUCAGGCAAUGACUGCAGCUGCUGAUGCUGUGGAAACACCUACAGGCACAGUGAGAAGCAAGGAAUCAACGGAGCAAUCCAAGGUUUGCAGAAGUACAAAAAAUACCUAAGGGGAACAAACUUGUAGGCAGGUGGGGAGACAAGCAUGAUAGUUAGAGUGUUGGACUAAGAUUCUGGAGACCUGGGUUCAAAUCCUCCCUUGAAGUUCACUGGCGAUUUUCUGCAAGUCUCAGUCUCCUGUUCUGAUCUACUUCACAUCUUUCAUGCAAGGAUGAUGUGGGAAAGAGGACCACAUAUAUUGCCUUGAGCAAAAAAGGCAGGAAAUUAAUGUAGUUAAUAAAUAAAAUGAAAGCCCAAGAAGGCCUGAGGAG